Homo sapiens (human) is the source of this 1314-nucleotide long non-coding RNA. NCBI's taxonomy places the organism in Eukaryota, Metazoa, Chordata, Mammalia, Primates, Hominidae. The record is from Ensembl.
GGACUGGAGCAUGUCAUCACUGUCUUAAAUGUACUGAAAUUCUAACAGCUCUAGCUGAAAAAAUGUCCAAAGCAGGCCGUGAAAAUAAAUUUAAAUGACAAACUCCAAAAUGAUCUAUGCUAGAAUCCCAAGGCUGUCAGGGAAAACUGGUUCCAUGGAAGAAGGUAGUCAAAGAAAUAAGCAGAUCAGAUGACCUAGACCCUCACCCAAUAUGCGCGAUGUACUUGGGGAGAAAGUAACCUCUUUCCUUUAUUCACCUACAUAGGUUCGUGAGCCACACAUCUCCCCACACCAAGCUCCUCCAUACAAGACCUCGGACUGCAUCACGUAAAUGCUUUUUCAGGGGCAAAAUCUAGAGAAUCUGAAACGAGCUAUCAGCUUCCCAGUUUGCACAAUUCAUCAAGAAAUUAUGCGGGGUCACUGGCACAAAUGAUGAGGCAUCUCCUGGAAGCUUAACUUCUUAUCCAUCCCAUCUCUUGGACAGAUGAUGCCAGUUAAUUACUUUGAAUGCUCUGCUGCUAUGGUGAGCUGCACGUCUGGAGGCUUCACAGAGACACUGGGUGAAUCUAAAUGAUGAGUUUGAUGGUGACCUGGAGGUGAAACUGUGACUUCAUGAUGUUCUAGAGGCUGACCUGGGGUCUCCUGCUGGGUCAGAGAAGAUUCGACCUCCCCAGAAGACUCAGAAGGCUGAACUGGCUGCUGCUGCUCACUGAUGGAAAGUUCAUGCUCCAUAGGAGGAACUGGAGGCUCAAUUGGGGCCUCCUGUUGGGUUGCAGAAGGUUCCACCUCCUCUGGAAACUGAAUUGGGGUCUCCUGCUGGGUUUGGGAAGAUUCUGUCUCAUUGGUAGGCUCUGAAGUUAUGGUAACCUCCACAUCUGCAGGUUUAACUGUAAUGUUGGGCAAGUGAUAAUAAGCUUGAUCCUCACCUGGAGGUUGAACUGACACCUCAUGAUUCGGUAGAGUUAGACUCUCCAUAGAGGACUCUGGAGGCAGAGCUGGGGCCUCCUGCUGCAUUGAAGAAGGUUCUUCCUCAAGGAGCUGUGGAAGCUGUGCUGGGGCUUCUUGUUGGAGUGAAGAGGACUGGAUGUCUUCAAGGGUCUCUGGAUUUUGAGUUUCGGGCUCUAGAUGGAAUUGAGAAGGUCCAACUUGCUCAGAGGGCCCUGGAGGCUCAUCUGACUUCACCCGGAGUUCUGGAGGCAGGCUACCGGGAUACGGUGUAUCUGUACUGGAAUAUUCAUUCUGCAAAUUCUGUUUCUGACUAUGAGGUGUGGAUAAUUGGCGUAUAAUUCCAAUAAUCUCAGCAAGGCUCCAACG